Molecule: ribosomal RNA, 253 nt
Filed under: uncultured bacterium
Lineage: Bacteria
Description: partial 16S ribosomal RNA
Rfam family: Bacterial small subunit ribosomal RNA
Source: RNAcentral
UACGGGGGGGGCAAGCGUUGUUCGGAAUUACUGGGCGUAAAGGGCGUGUAGGUGGCCAACUAAGUCAGACGUGAAAUCCCUCGGCUUAACCGGGGAACUGCGUCUGAUACUGGUUGGCUUGAGUUUGGGAGAGGGACGCGGAAUUCCAGGUGUAGCGGUGAAAUGCGUAGAUAUCUGGAGGAACACCGGUGGCGAAGGCGGCGUCCUGGACCAACACUGACACUGAUGAGCGAAAGCCAGGGGAGCAAACGGG